Sapajus apella (tufted capuchin) is the source of this 1630-nucleotide long non-coding RNA. RefSeq lists it as uncharacterized. The transcript is spliced from 2 exons. The record is from RefSeq and is a predicted model, not a curated record. Lineage: Eukaryota; Metazoa; Chordata; Mammalia; Primates; Cebidae.
CUCCCAAAGUGCUGGGGUUACAGGCGUGAGCCACCGCGCUUGUCCGGAAUUCUUCUUUAAAUGGAGUGUUAUGGGAUAUAGUAAUGUUGAAAUAAAGUCUGGAUCUGUCUUUUAUGAUUAAUAACAAUUUGUUCCCUCUAUGAGGCAUUAAUCCCAUAUUAUGGUCUCUAUAUAUUUAGUCAGAACAUCUUUCUCAGGCUAGAUUGUGCUAAUUCUAGAAAUCUAGAGCAAUUGUUUUUAACAUAUGAUACAUGGAAGUUUUUUAGCUGGUAUACUGGCUUUUCUUAAUAGUUAUCUAAGAUUUUGGAAGCACAUUUGUUACUAAUAGUAACAAUACUGUAAUAUAGCAAUGACAUCUUAAUCUUACAAAUAAAGGUGGGGUUUUGGUGUCUGAUAUGUAUCUUGAGUACAGUUAUUGGUGGAACGUGGGAAGCUGUGAGCCACUUCAUCUAGAGAAUCUGUUUAGGGUUUUGAGACUUCUGACAUGUUGUCAUCUCUAGGCGGGUUCUAAUCAAAUCUCAACUGUAUUAUUUUUGCCUUCUCUACUACCAUUUGAAGAUUAGAAACCGAUCUAGUCUUGAAACUGAUUGCUUUAGCCAAAGCUUCAUUCCUGGUGGAAUGGGCUACAGAUGGCUUCUAGGCAUGUUUCAUCUGGCUGAGGACUUUGCUAUUUGGUGAUAUUGAUAGUAUUUAUCUGAUGUUAGCACUGCCUAAUGCUCUUGAGUGAUUCAUGGUUAGCAGCUUAACCGUGAUUUGUAGUGACAUGUAGCAUCCUGUAUGAGGAGAAGGAAAUUUGGUGUGUUUUAUUAGCGCUUACCACAGGAGGUUUAUUUAUUUAUUUAUGUUUAUAGUUUUAAGGGCCUGGAAUGAGGAAAGUCCAAUAUGUUCUUUUUCUUCAGUGAGACAAAUUAGGACUUUUCUUUUUGACUGAUUACUUCAGUCUUAUUUAUUGCUUCAUGGAUACAGCUCAAUAAAUUUUCACCACUAGAUAACUGUGAAGAAGCUGUUUUAGGAACUGAAAAGUGUUUCAUUCCAAAGAUACAGCCUCUUAUAUGUAAUGGCAUUCUAGCUCCUAAUCCGCUUCUAAGCUAAACCUGCUCUAAUGCGUUGCAAGGGAAAUACAGAUGUCAAGAACCAAAGUCUUUCUUCCAUUAGAACCAUUCUUUUUCUGAGGAGAGUCAGUGACAAUCCUUGCUAUAUUUAUUUUUCUUUCUUUUCUUAGCUGUAAGAGACAUAGAACUUCCACCGCCUCACAGGUCUCUAUGAUAUAAACAUGGUAUUUCAACUGAUCAGAUUGCCUCAAGUUAAAGUAAGGCACUCUCUAAUUUUAUUAAGGAUUUUUAUUUAGGGGGAAAUCAGUUGAAUUCUUAAUUGAUAAGUAACUCUAUUACUAUUUAGUGAGUUUUUUGGUACAAUUUUAGCUUAAUUUAUUUUUUAAUUAUCUCUAAGAUUUUAACCUGAUAUACCUUCUCUGUUUUAUUUAAUUUUUUCAGUUGCAGCUCUCCGUUUCAGAAAAACCUUUAUGAUAUUUUUAUAAGACUGAAAAUGUACAAGGUUGUUCUUUAGAGGGUGUCUGAGUCUUUUUUUUUUUUUUUUUUCUGCUAUAACAAUACUGGAGACUGAGUAAUUU